This 71-nucleotide transfer RNA is filed under the name Geodromicus suturalis. RNAcentral's name for it is "tRNA-Lys". Lineage: Eukaryota; Metazoa; Arthropoda; Insecta; Coleoptera; Staphylinidae. The record is from RNAcentral.
CAUUAGAUGACUGAAAGUAAGUACUGGUCUCUUAAACCAUCCUAUAGUAAUGUAACAUUUACUUCUAAUGA